UAUGACAUUUACUUUGAGGAAAUUAGAGUGCUCUCUGCAAGCUCGCCCUCUGAAUAUAUUAGCAUGGCAUGAUGAUAUAGGACCUUGGUUUUAUUUUGUUGGUUUUUCGGGCUGAGGUAAUGAUUAAUAGGGAUAGUUGGGGGCACUUGUAUUAACGCGUCAGAAGUGGAAUUCUUGGAUUGCGUUACGACAGUUUUUUGCGAAAGCAUUUGGCAAGGAUGUUUUCAUUGAUCAAGAACGAAAGUAUGGGG
Molecule: ribosomal RNA, 251 nt
Filed under: uncultured Syndiniales
Lineage: Eukaryota; Dinophyceae; Syndiniales
Description: partial 18S ribosomal RNA
Rfam family: Eukaryotic small subunit ribosomal RNA
Source: RNAcentral